GUUUAAUUGGGAUAAUAUGGAACUAACAUCCAGUUUGUUAUAAACACAAAAACAACUGAUUAAGAAAAUAUGGUGUGCUUAAUUGUGGAGAGAAAGAAGUAUUGGAAGAAUUAGAACAGCAUUAGAGUCUGGCAAGAUAGAGUCAGGCAGGACUAAAGUCCCUUAAGUUCAUAUAGGACUUUAGGCAGGAAUUGAGCAAAAUGGCGCUGUCUUACCAGACUUGGUCUAGAGAGACUUUAAGGAGCAUCUGAUAAAUACACCACCUAAAGUACUUUCAGGGAAUUUUACUCAUUUUUAGCAACAUAUCGGAGAAGCUCUGUCUGAAAUUCCUUCAACUCCAUCAAAAAGCAAAAAGGUGAUAGGGACUCCAAAAAAAAAUCCAUCUAAACGCA
This is a long non-coding RNA of Chelonus insularis, 392 nucleotides long. RefSeq lists it as uncharacterized. The transcript has 3 exons. NCBI's taxonomy places the organism in Eukaryota, Metazoa, Arthropoda, Insecta, Hymenoptera, Braconidae. The record is from RefSeq and is a predicted model, not a curated record.